RNAcentral lists this transfer-messenger RNA (351 nucleotides) under Tepidanaerobacter syntrophicus. RNAcentral describes it as "Standard tmRNA". It matches the Rfam family "transfer-messenger RNA". From Rfam's summary of the family: Bacterial tmRNA, also known as 10Sa RNA or SsrA, is named for its dual tRNA and mRNA-like properties. Its role is to liberate the mRNA from a stalled ribosome. To accomplish this part of the tmRNA is used as a reading frame that ends in a translation stop signal. Lineage: Bacteria; Bacillati; Bacillota; Clostridia; Thermosediminibacterales; Tepidanaerobacteraceae. The record is from Rfam by way of RNAcentral.
GGGGGCGUUUGGUUUCGACGGGGGUAGCAGGGAUAAGAGCUGCAGGCCGAGCUUUCCGACUCGUAAAUCCGGAAACAAUAAUUAAACGCCAAUAACGAUUUAGCUUACGCUGCUUAAUUAAAGCAGCGCGUCCUUACUCGGCUUUGCCCGAGAGCUGAGAUAAGGGCGUCAAAAAAAUCGGGAUUUUCUUUUAGCGUUGCUCUGGCGCUAAAAGAGAAACUUACAGAGCUGGCCGAGCUUUAAUCCUGCCCUCAGGAGUAAAGCCGGCGAGAUCCAAAAUGAGGGAUAAGCUUGUAGACGCUCUUAUUGAUGUACCUCCGGACAGGGGUUCGAUUCCCCUCGCCUCCACCA